UACGUAGGGUGCAAGCGUUAAUCGGAAUUACUGGGCGUAAAGCGUGCGCAGGCGGUUAUGUAAGACAGGUGUGAAAUCCCCGGGCUCAACCUGGGAACUGCAUCUGUGACUGCAUAGCUAGAGUACGGUAGAGGGGGAUGGAAUUCCGCGUGUAGCAGUGAAAUGCGUAGAUAUGCGGAGGAACACCAGUGGCGAAGGCGACUACCUGGCCUGUUCUUGACGCUGAGGCGCGAAAGCUAGGGGAGCAAACGGG
Molecule: ribosomal RNA, 253 nt
Filed under: uncultured bacterium
Lineage: Bacteria
Description: partial 16S ribosomal RNA
Rfam family: Bacterial small subunit ribosomal RNA
Source: RNAcentral